This 465-nucleotide ribosomal RNA is filed under the name uncultured bacterium. Its description in RNAcentral is "partial 16S ribosomal RNA". It matches the Rfam family "Bacterial small subunit ribosomal RNA", at positions 28 to 507 of the family's 1533-position model. The record is from RNAcentral.
GACGAACGCUGGCGGCGUGCUUAACACAUGCAAGUCGAACGGUAAGGCUCCAGCUUGCUGGGGUACACGAGUGGCGAACGGGUGAGUAACACGUGGGUGACCUGCCCUGCACUUCGGGAUAAGCCUGGGAAACUGGGUCUAAUACCGGAUAGGACUGCACCGUGAGGGUGUGGUGGAAAGUUUUUUCGGUGUGGGAUGGGCCCGCGGCCUAUCAGCUUGUUGGUGGGGUAAUGGCCUACCAAGGCGGCGACGGGUAGCCGGCCUGAGAGGGUGGACGGCCACAUUGGGACUGAGACACGGCCCAGACUCCUACGGGAGGCAGCAGUGGGGAAUAUUGCACAAUGGGCGGAAGCCUGAUGCAGCGACGCCGCGUGGGGGAUGACGGCCUUCGGGUUGUAAACUCCUUUCACCAUCGACGAAGAGUUUCUGACGGUAGAUGGAGAAGAAGCACCGGCUAACUACGUG